AGUGAACGCUGGCGGUAGGCCUAACACAUGCAAGUCGAACGGCAGCACAGUAAGAGCUUGCUCUUACGGGUGGCGAGUGGCGGCCGGGUGAGGAAUACAUCGGAAUCUACUUUUUCGUGGGGGAUAACGUAGGGAAACUUACGCUAAUACCGCAUACGACCUACGGGUGAAAGCAGGGGAUCUUCGGACCUUGCGCGAUUGAAUGAGCCGAUGUCGGAUUAGCUAGUUGGCGGGGUAAAGGCCCACCAAGGCGACGAUCCGUAGCUGGUCUGAGAGGAUGAGCAGCCACACUGGAACUGAGACACGGUCCAGACUCCUACGGGAGGCAGCAGUGGGGAAUAUUGGACAAUGGGCGCAAGCCUGAUCCAGCCAUACCGCGUGGGUGAAGAAGGCCUUCGGGUUGUAAAGCCCUUUUGUUGGGAAAGAAAAGCAGCAGGUUAAGACCCCGCUGUUCUGACGGUACCCAAAGAAUAAGCACCGGCUAACUUCGUG
Molecule: ribosomal RNA, 492 nt
Filed under: uncultured bacterium
Lineage: Bacteria
Description: partial 16S ribosomal RNA
Rfam family: Bacterial small subunit ribosomal RNA
Source: RNAcentral